RNAcentral lists this ribosomal RNA (415 nucleotides) under uncultured prokaryote. RNAcentral describes it as "bacterial SSU rRNA". It matches the Rfam family "Bacterial small subunit ribosomal RNA", at positions 505 to 918 of the family's 1533-position model. The record is from RNAcentral.
GUGUCAGCCGCCGCGGUAAUACGGAGGGUGCAAGCGUUGUUCGGAAUCACUGGGCGUAAAGCGCGUGCAGGCGGCUCGCUAAGUCUGGUGUGAAAGCCCGGGGCUCACCCCCGGAAGUGCACUGGAUACUGGCGAGCUCGAGUCCCGGAGAGGAGGGUGGAAUUCCUGGUGUAGCGGUGAAAUGCGUAGAUAUCAGGAGGAAAACCGGCGGCGAAGGCGGCCCUCUGGACGGUGACUGACGCUGAGACGCGAAAGCGUGGGGAGCAAACAGGAUUAGAUACCCUGGUAGUCCACGCCGUAAACGAUGAGCACUAGGUGUCGCGGGUAUUGACCCCUGCGGUGCCGUCGCAAACGCAUUAAGUGCUCCGCCUGGGGAGUACGGUCGCAAGAUUAAAACUUAAAUGAAUUGACGGGG